UACGUAGGGGGCAAGCGUUGUCCGGAUUUAUUGGGCGUAAAGAGCGUGUAGGCGGCCUGGAAGGUCAGCUGUGAAAACUCGAGGCUCAACCUCGAGACGUCGGUUGAAACCACCUGGCUAGAGUCCGGAAGAGGAGAGUGGAAUUCCCGGUGUAGCGGUGAAAUGCGCAGAUAUCGGGAAGAACACCCGUGGCGAAGGCGGCUCUCUGGGACGGUACUGACGCUGAGACGCGAAAGCGUGGGGAGCAAACAGG
This 253-nucleotide ribosomal RNA is filed under the name uncultured bacterium. Its description in RNAcentral is "partial 16S ribosomal RNA". It matches the Rfam family "Bacterial small subunit ribosomal RNA", at positions 524 to 776 of the family's 1533-position model. The record is from RNAcentral.